This is a non-coding RNA of Rattus norvegicus (Norway rat), 5847 nucleotides long. NCBI's taxonomy places the organism in Eukaryota, Metazoa, Chordata, Mammalia, Rodentia, Muridae. The record is from RefSeq and is a predicted model, not a curated record.
UCCAUUUAUUUUUGAAUUGUGGCUUACCAGGGGUCUCUGGAAUCACAGAAAGGGACAUUACUAGUAGAGAAGGUGGCUUGACAGCCAGCCAGCCCUGGGUCUGCCUGCCUGGCCCUGCUUCUCUUUCUGGUGGAGAGAGAGUCUGGCCUGCUCUGCCCACAUCAAACACAGUGCUGUGAUCCAGAUAAGGGAAGGCCCAAGCCUUGCAGGGCCUAAGAUCCAUUGCUUUCUUCAAGUCAGAUCUAUUACUUUGUAACAAAAUUCAGAGUUCCCUUCACAUGGACAAAAGGAAGUUAGGGCCUCAAAUGAGAGGUCUGUAAGUAUCUGGGUGGAAGGGCAGCAAGGGAGUGGGGGAAGGGUGGGGAGGAGAGGCAGCGGGGGGGGGGGGGAGAGGGAGGCAUCAGGAGGAGGGAGACAAGAACGGAGUGGGGCAUUGGGGGGCAGCAGCAGGGUGGGGGAGGGGGAAAGGGAAGCAUCGGGUGGAGGGGGAUUGGGGGGCAGCAGUGGGGUGGGGGCCUGGGGGAGGGAGGCAGUAGGGGAUCCUCAGGUUGCAGCCAGGAUCCAUGGCUCUGGUCACAGCUUUAUGACAGCACACAGUAGGGAUAAACCACAGAGAUUCUGUCUGCUCAGAGAACUCGCUGUGUGGGCCCUAUAGUGACCCCUGCUCCAAGCUACAACCUGUAGCCUCUAAAACUAAGACUGACGGUAUUUCAACACUCUGGUGGACCGACGAGGCAUGCCUUCCUCUUGAAGAUGUGCGGUUAAGUUGGAGCAGCACUGGUCCAACGUGCAGAGAGAAUGAGGAUCCCAGUCUACUGGUCCCAAUGGAAUGGCUGACACAGGACCAUUGGAAUAGCAUCAGGACCAGCCUGGGGCUUCCUCUGGAUCCCGAGUUGGCCCUGACACAUCCUUGGGUUCUGCACAGAAUCAUCUUCAGAAGUAGGAUGCUGAGGAUGCUAAGGAUGGAGCAUCCAAGGCAGCACUUCUCAGGACCAGCAGGAGGCUCGCACAGGAUGUCAGUUAACUGCCAUGACGCCUACUCCAGAGAAAGUCAGGGUUACCUGCUGCUAAAGGCCCUGGGGUCUCUCCAGGUGAGCUGCCAGUCUCACCCACCUGCAGCCCAUGGUUUGGUCCCAGGCCCUGGACAGAGGGAUCUUCGUCCUCUUCUCUUCUCCAUCACUCAGCACUCUGGACCACUUGUCAUUCCCACUGACAAAUGACACUUGAGGAGGGACAGGAACCCGAGUACCUAGGAAGGAUGCUUUUUUUUUUUUACCCACUUUAGAGAUCUGGAAAGAUCUGGCUAUAUAGGGGAUACUUUUUUUUAAAUGUAUUUUUAAAAAUUAUUUGAAAUUAUAAUUUCAUCGUUUCCAAUGUUUCCUUUCCUUUCACCAAUGCCUCCCGUGGCACCCCCUUGCUCUCUCUCAAAUUCGUGGCCUCUUUGUUACACACACAGAGAGAGAGAGAGAGAGAGAGAGAGAGACAGAGAGACAGAGAGACAGAGAGACAGAGAGACAGAGAGACAGAGACAGACAGACAGAUAGACACUCCUAAAUAUAUCCUGCUCGGUCAAUGUGUUAUCCGUACAGCUGAUAGUAAAUGAAGCAACAGGAAAAAAGGACAUUCUGCUAAAAUAAAACUAUGUCUAAAUAAAACUAUGUCUAAAGUCACCCUGGGAAGACACAGGACUGCAGGGCAAACCACAACAAAAGACCGACCCCUGCAGAUGCGUUGCAUGGAGGACCUGUGAGCAAGGGAAGUGAAGGGCUAGAAGAAGGAGUCCCUGACCUGGUGCUCCCCUCACAGAACACCCAAACCAAGUGUCUGGCUGAGACGGCCCACAAGCAUCCAGGCUCCCAAAGCCUUGAGAGAAUGUAAUACUCAUUUCAACCCCCAGGGGGCACUAGGCUUCUCUGCAUCAACCUGGAUCCGCGCUCUCUCCCAUCAGCCACUUCAAGGUGCUUUGUGGCUGCUUUUUGCUUGACUUUGUGGCGAAAAAUGUCUCACUGCUGUAAACGAUUCUGAAAUGGUCUCUCUCUUUCUCUCUCUCUUUUUUUUUCCCAAGGAAAUUCUCUCUCCAGACUCAAACAUUUUCUCUUUUCACCGCAAGUCAGUUCACCUCUGCUGGGUCUUAAAAGGCUUAGCGGAGUUCCCUAGACAAGGGUCUCACACCCAACUGGGCUGGGUCCCAGUAGCUGGCCUGGUGUAACCUGCUGUGUUCCACAGGCUUCCCUGCCUGUCCCAAGCACUCAGCAUAAUUAACAUCUUUGACAUUGCUCCAGCGGGGCUGCCAGAUCCCAUUAGCCAAGUCCACUGAAAAUGUGGGUCAUCUCUCCUUUUUCCUUUUCGAUUUUCUACUUUAAAGGGCACACCGCCUUUUAAAGCCGAUGAGAAAUCCAAAGCAGCUCUCAGGAAGAGCGGUAUCGGCUCUGGUGACUUAAACAUGCGCCGUCACGUGACGAAUAGAUCGUAAAGUUAACGGACGAUGAUACCCAUGGACGAUGAUGCGGACGAAGAAGUAUUCGUAAACAGCCUACCGCUCCAAAGGCUGCCAUUUCCUCUCUGUAGAAGGAGAAUAGCAACAUGAGUCAGGCGUGGUGGUGUAGACCUGUGAUCUCAUCUGACAGGGGACAACUGAGAGUUUGAGGUCAUCUUGGGCAACCCCAGAAUGAGGAUGGAGAAGGAUGGGGGGAGGAGAAAGGAAGCCAACCCAAGUAGCACCUGGCUUGCACAAUCACCCCAGCACAUCACCAUAGCGAGGGAAUCCAAGUCCUCUGCAGCAGCCGGCUAGCCGCAUAGACAAGAGCCCAAGGUAUUGGGGACCCACAUUGAGUAACCCAGACAGGGCCAUCGACCUUCUUUCCUGGGAAGGACUUUGUCUUGUCUGAAAUGUUUAUGGCUGGCCACGACUUGCAGUGACAGAGGCCAUAAAGAAUAGUCACCGAGUGUGUAAAUGAAGCCCAAGGUUUACACCGGUCUUUCCACAGAACAGUACUGUUUAGGGCAGACCAGGUCAAAGAGCACAGCCUGCUGUGUGCACGUGGAUCGGUGAGCAGGUAUAUAGGAAAGGAUAAAUGGCAAUCUUGAGUAUCAUUCUUUGGGCACAGUCCACCUUCUUUUUUUUUUUUUUUAAAUCUCUGCUUCCCCAGGUCCAGAAUUACGGUUCCUCGCUAACACAGCAGGCUUUUUAAAAAUUUUUAAUAUUUAUCGACACUUAGGAUCGGACUCAAGUCCUCUUGCUUGCAAGGUGAGCACGUUACUGACUGAGCCACCUCACCUGCCUCUGGAGUUUUGUGUCAUUUAGGUCCUGUGUUCAAAUCCAUGCUUCUGUGCCAACCCAGCAGAUCCCGCUGAAAGAGGCAUCUACAUGUGAACACAUCCUAACCUCAGCCAGCGUGUCCCGUGUGUGCUCGUAGGCCCCUAUGUGUUAGGGGCACAUCUCUAACACACAUGAGCUGAAUACAUACUUUUGCUUGGGAAAUUGGCAUGCACUCCUCUGCAGCCCCUUGUUCAAAGAUGUAGACCCGGAAGCGGCUAGACUCUUUUUCAGAGUAGUCAUGAGAAACUCUGGCUAGACUUCAGGAUGGACAGACAAGAAGACAUCAUCGCAGCCUGCUGUCACGAUGUUCAGACCAACCAGGGACAAGCGGGCCAUUGGCUCUGGGUAAAUUUGGGUGGGAAACCCUGUAGGCUCUCCCCAAAUGUUCAAACUUUCCUUCCCAGUCUCCCUCCUUCCAGGAAGGGUGCUGUCACGGUGAAGCCUGCUGUCCUGCCUCACUGUGGCUUUGUCUCCUGCUGAACACAGGGAGCUGGCGUGGGCAAGGAAACCAGAGGCCAGCUAAUCCUCCUCAGGGGCCCCUGUCUUGGCUCCUCCCCCUUCAGCUACUAUCUGAAGUCUAAUGGGUCGUUUUUUUUUUGUUGUUGUUGUUUUUUUUUUUUUUUUUUUUUUUUUGACAAUGACAGAGCGAGCUACACUAAAAAAGACAUCAGAAGGUACCAGACUUAACUACAGUUUCUGCAGGGGAUUGGAAAGGAGGCUAGCCCUACCCUGGCUCCCAGACUCCCCUUCCCUUGCAGAAGAGAGACAAGCGGGAUCCCACACACCUGAGAAGGUCCCUCUAGGUAGCACCAUUUUUGACUGAGUUGAGGCAAUACCCGGAUGGUUUUUACUUUAACUUGGUACAAGCUAGAGAGGAGGGAACCUCAACAGAGAAGAUGCCUCCUCAAUUGAGGCCGUAGGCAGGCCUCUGAGGCAUUUUCUUAAUUAGUGGUUGAUGGGAGAGGGCCAAGCCGGUGGUAAGGCACACUGCCCGUGGGUUUGUGGUCGUGGGUGCUAUAAGGAAGCAGGCUGAGCAAGCCAUGAAGAGCAAGCUAGUAAGCGGGAUUGCUCCGUGGUCCAUUCAUAGGCUCCUGCCUCCGGAUUCCUGCCCUGUUCCUGACUUCCUUUGAUGAUGGACUGAGAUAAGGAACUGUAAACAAAAUAAGCCCUUUCCUCCCCACACUGCUUUUGGUCAUGAUGUUUCCUCCUAGCAACAGUGACCCUAACUAAGACGGUUAACAACAUCCCAAGAGCUCCAAGGUCAACCGAAGAGAUAGAGGGGCAGGUUCUGGGUCCUUCACCCGACCCAGGAUCCCCCAGGCCACUUGGCAGGGGCAGAAGGUUUCUUCCGGUUUUGAUUCGGAGGCACUCUCUGGGUUGCAUGCAAGUCGGGACACUUGGAGCCUCGGGGCUGCUGUGGAAGUCGCAGAGAGGCCAGCCCUUACUCAAUCCUAGGCCUGAGAGAAGGCUGGCAGAAAGAAGUAAUGGCCGCCCAUGAAGGCGGUUGUCAUGGAGAUAUUAGACAGGGACACUGAUCAUUCCCCACCCCAGGAGGGUCAAUUGAAUGAGUCAGUCUGAUGGGGCACGGCGCCUUAUCCUAGAUGUCUUGCAGGAGUUUCUGGGUGCGGUUGAAUCUGAUGGCUGUCCACCUGUAUGCUGGUGGGAUUCAUCUGACCCACCAUGUGACUUAAUAGAGCAGCGGGACGCGGAGAGAGGAUUCCGUUCUUCCUGCCUGCUUACAUUCGGCAUUGGUGUCCGCCUGGCCCUCGUACUCGGGAUGUACGUGAGCAGUUCUCUGGGCCCUCAAGCUUCAGAUUUAAACUAGAGACUGGCACCAGCACUGGCUCUCCUGGGUCUCCAGGCUGCUGCUAAUCACUUGAGCCAGCACCCGUUGUAGGAAGCAAUGGCCCUGAACUUAGAUGGUAGUUCAACUUAACAUUUUCCUUUAUUACAGCGCCCAAGUCCCAUGCAUUCGAGAGAAACCUCCCUGCAGCUCUUUCCCUGUGCUAAUGACAGGUUGUAUGAAUCUGUCUCAGUCUCUGCUAUUCCCCUCAAAGCAAGGCACAAAUUGUAACCGAAAUGCUCCGGGAUCCUAAGGGGAAAGUGUCAAUGCCACGAUGUGUACGGUAGGAAAAUGACAGGCAUGUUUGAUUUAAAAUACUUCCAAUUAAUGAUAGGUUUAUCAGGCACAUCUGUGCUGAGGUGUAUGGAUUAUGUGGUGGUUUGAACACCCAUGGCCCACAUAGACUCAUGUGUGUGGAUGCUUGGCCCAUAGGAAGUGGCACUUUGAGGAGGCGUGGCCUCGUUGGAGGAAGUGUGAUACUGUGGGUGAGCUUUGAGGUUAUAGAUGCGUGAGUCUGGCCAUUGUGACUUAGUCCCCGUUUGCUGCCUGAGGAUUAAUAUGUAGAACUCUUGGCUCCUUCUCCAGCACCAUGUCUACCCGAAUGCUGCCAGGCUUCUACCAUGGUGGUAAUGGACUGACCCUCUGAAACUGUAAGCCAGCCCCAAUUAAAUGUUGUCCUUUAUAA